UAGACAUGUACAAGAUUGUUUAAAUUCUGAACCGUAAAUUUGAAGUGGCAGCUUAUGCCUGUGUUCCGAAUUUCUUCUAUCUGGCGGUCACCCUGCUGUUUGGACUCAUCGUUGGCAUCUUGGCAAAGUUCAGCUUUGGACGAGCUCUCAUUCUGAAAUAUCCACACAUAUUUACCUUUGGUGUGUUCAAACAAGGAGGACCUUCAAAGAAACAGAUGGAGACAGGAACAUUUAGCAUCACAGUGGUCGGCAAGGGUUGGAAGGAGAAGCUUCCUGAUGCAGACACAGAGCAUGACACAGCCCCCGACACCCAGAUGAUUGUGCGGGUGUCGGGCCCGGAAGCGGGAUAUGUUGCCACGCCAAUUGUCAUGGUUCAGUGCGCCUGUACUCUGCUGAAGGAAAUCUCUCAAGACAAAUUUAGGGGUGGUGUGUACACAACAGCCAUGCUUUUCCGAGAAACAAACCUGAUUGAACGACUCAUCAAAAACAACAUCAAGUUUGAAGUCGUGAAAGAACAAUUCCCUCUGUGAACAAUAGAUGGGCUCAAAUUCCUGUCCAUAUGUGAACAAUAGCUGGGACCUCACUAUCAAAACUAGCUUUAUCUUUGCACUCUAAUGUCAUUUGCCAUGACAUUAUGUCAUGUGAGACUUUUGUAUGUAAUCGUCUAUUUAUACAAAUUAUGACAUGCCUUUGUAAACAAAACAAUAAAGAGUAUGUUUAUAUUACUUAAGUAAAAUAAUUGAGGCUCUUCAGAUUCAUAAGUCAUAAUUUUAUAGCUUUUUCAACCUAUGCUUUGAUGUACAACAUAAGGUACCUGUACGCUAAAUUAUACACAUUAUAUAAUUACUAAUAUAUGUAAUAUUAACUACAUGUAUAUUCUAGUAAUUAUUGCAAUCAAAAGUCACACCGUAAUUCAAAAGCUUUCUGAUCAUUUACCUUGAGUUAUAAUAUAAGCUACCUGUGUAUUCAAACAAUAUGGGCAAUCAAAAGUUCUAAUUUAAAAGCUUUCUUAAUCUAUAUAGUUUGAGAUACACUAUUUGCUUCAUGUAUAUUUUUGAUAAACCCAAAGAUAAUUGCUAGUAUCUACAUAAAUCAAGUCACAUGAUAAUUAUGAUGUAAGUGGUAAACACCGAGUCCCAGUUUUCUGUGGCUAAAUAUAGAAUGGAGGCACAGAUACAUGUGUGACAAGUACUUAAGUGCUAGAUAUUAGAUGUACAUUUUAGUAGGGGUUUCAAUAAUUUGUAUCUUAUUAGAUCUAUCGAAGAUUGGAUGCACACUUGUGAAUAAACAUGUUAAUAUUA
Molecule: long non-coding RNA, 1301 nt
Organism: Mya arenaria
Lineage: Eukaryota; Metazoa; Mollusca; Bivalvia; Myida; Myidae
Exons: 5
Source: RefSeq, a predicted model, not a curated record